UACGGAGGGUGCGAGCGUUGUCCGGAAUCACUGGGCGUAAAAGGCGCGUAGGCGGCCUGAUAAGUAGGGGGUGAAAUCCUGCGGCUUAACCGCAGGGCUGCCUUCUAAACUGUCAGGCUUGAGCACAGUAGAGGCAGGUGGAAUUCCCGGUGUAGCGGUGGAAUGCGUAGAGAUCGGGAAGAACAUCAGUGGCGAAGGCGGCCUGCUGGGCUGUUGCUGACGCUGAGGCGCGACAGCGUGGGGAGCAAACAGG
This 253-nucleotide ribosomal RNA is filed under the name uncultured bacterium. Its description in RNAcentral is "partial 16S ribosomal RNA". It matches the Rfam family "Bacterial small subunit ribosomal RNA", at positions 524 to 776 of the family's 1533-position model. The record is from RNAcentral.